CUUUAUAAGAUGAUCAGAUAGAAGAUAUCCAUCAUCGACCAGCUUCUUAAGGUCAGCGAGCUUGGAAGGUCCCUGCUCAACACCAAAUUGGUCAAGGUAAAACCACUUCCCCAUAACAGUAGAGGGCUCAACACUGGGUUUAGGUGCUUCACUGGUGUGAGGUGGUGUGUCACAAAUAUCCAUGUCUUCUUCCAUUGAGACAUCUUCAACAACAACAUCAUUGGGCUGCUCAGGUACUGGUGGUGGUGGCAGGGGAGGAGGCAUGCUAGGUGGUAAAGGCGGAGGUGGAGGUGGAGGAGGAGGCGGCGGCGGCAGUAAUGGAGGUGGUGGUGGCAGCUCAGUAUAUUGAAUGCUCUCGGUUGCCUUUUCCUUCGAGAUCCUCUCCUCGCUCUUUCCGUUGCUACCACUCUUAUUCUUACAUGAUUGCUUCAUUGAUUUAUUUUUGUGUUGUGCAUUUUCCAGGUUCUUGCUUUCAAGCUUAGCACCUCUGCUCUUCUUGCUUGCUUCAUGGCUAUCAGUAGUUCGGCCGCGUUCAGAUGGUGAUCUAUCAGUACGG
This 556-nucleotide long non-coding RNA is filed under the name Brachypodium distachyon (stiff brome). RNAcentral's name for it is "long non-coding RNA (BDIS_LNC003075)". Lineage: Eukaryota; Viridiplantae; Streptophyta; Magnoliopsida; Poales; Poaceae. The record is from RNAcentral.